Molecule: ribosomal RNA, 486 nt
Filed under: uncultured bacterium
Lineage: Bacteria
Description: partial 16S ribosomal RNA
Rfam family: Bacterial small subunit ribosomal RNA
Source: RNAcentral
AUUGAACGCUGGCGGCAUGCCUUACACAUGCAAGUCGAACGGCAGCGCGGACUUCGGUCUGGCGGCGAGUGGCGAACGGGUGAGUAAUACAUCGGAACGUACCCUGUUGUGGGGGAUAACUAGUCGAAAGAUUAGCUAAUACCGCAUACGACCUGAGGGUGAAAGUGGGGGACCGGAAACGGCCUCAUGCAGCAGAAGCGGCCGAUGUCUGAUUAGCUAGUUGGUGGGGUAAAGGCCCACCAAGGCGACGAUCAGUAGCUGGUCUGAGAGGACGAUCAGCCACACUGGGACUGAGACACGGCCCAGACUCCUACGGGAGGCAGCAGUGGGGAAUUUUGGACAAUGGGGGCAACCCUGAUCCAGCAAUGCCGCGUGUGUGAAGAAGGCCUUCGGGUUGUAAAGCACUUUUGUCCGGAAAGAAAUCGCGCUGGUUAAUACCUGGCGUGGAUGACGGUACCGGAAGAAUAAGCACCGGCUAACUACGUG